GAUGAACGCUGGCGGCGUGCCUAAUACAUGCAAGCCGAGCGAACAGACGAGGAGCUUGCUCCUCUGACGUUAGCGGCGGACGCGUGAGUAACCCGUGGAUAACCUACCUAUAAGACUGGGAUAAAUUCGGGAAAUCGGAGCUAAUACCGGAUAAUAUAUUGUAACGCAUUGUUCAAUAGUGAAAGACGGUUUUGCUGUCACUUAUAGCUGGAUCCGCGUCGCAUUAGCUAAUUGGUAAGGUAACGGCUUACCAAGGCAACGAUGCGUAGCCGACCUGUGAGGGUGAGCGGCCACACUGGAACUGAGACACGGUCCAGACUCUUACGGGAGGCAGCAGUAGGGAAUCUUCCGCGAAUGGCGAAAGCCUGACGGAGCAACGCCGCGUGAGUGAUGAAGGUCUUCGGAUCGUAAAACUCUGUUAUUAGGGAAGAACAAAUGUGUAAGUAACUAUGCACGUCUUGACGGUACCUAAUCAGAAAGCCACGGCUAACUACGUG
This 497-nucleotide ribosomal RNA is filed under the name uncultured bacterium. RNAcentral describes it as "partial 16S ribosomal RNA". It matches the Rfam family "Bacterial small subunit ribosomal RNA", at positions 28 to 507 of the family's 1533-position model. The record is from RNAcentral.